This 567-nucleotide ribosomal RNA is filed under the name uncultured archaeon. RNAcentral describes it as "bacterial SSU rRNA". It matches the Rfam family "Archaeal small subunit ribosomal RNA", at positions 433 to 999 of the family's 1478-position model. The record is from RNAcentral.
UAGCAAGGGCCGGGCAAGACCGGUGCCAGCCGUCGCGGUAACACCGGCGGCCCGAGUGGUGAUCGUGAUUAUUGGGUCUAAAGGGUCCGUAGCCGGUUUGGUCAGUCCUCCGGGAAAUCUGACAGCUUAACUGUUAGGCUUUCGGAGGAUACUGCCAGACUUGGAACCGGGAGAGGUAAGAGGUACUACAGGGGUAGGAGUGAAAUCUUGUAAUCCCUGUGGGACCACCUGUGGCGAAGGCGUCUUACCAGAACGGGUUCGACGGUGAGGGACGAAAGCUGGGGGCACGAACCGGAUUAGAUACCCGGGUAGUCCCAGCCGUAAACGAUGCUCGCUAGGUGUCAGGCAUGGCGCGACCGUGUCUGGUGCCGCAGGGAAGCCGUGAAGCGAGCCACCUGGGAAGUACGGCCGCAAGGCUGAAACUUAAAGGAAUUGGCGGGGGAGCACAACAACGGGUGGAGCCUGCGGUUUAAUUGGACUCAACGCCGGACAACUCACCGGGGGCGACAGCAAUAUGUAGGCCAGGCUGAAGACCUUGCCUGAAUCGCUGAGAGGAAGUGCAUGGCC